Molecule: ribosomal RNA, 253 nt
Filed under: uncultured bacterium
Lineage: Bacteria
Description: partial 16S ribosomal RNA
Rfam family: Bacterial small subunit ribosomal RNA
Source: RNAcentral
UACGAAGGGGGCAAGCGUUGUUCGGAAUUACUGGGCGUAAAGGGCGCGUAGGCGGUUUAUCAAGUCGGGGGUGAAAUUCCCGGGCUCAACCUGGGGGCUGCGCUUGAUACUGAUGAGCUUGAAUGCGGGAGAGGAUAGUGGAAUUCCCAGUGUAGAGGUGAAAUUCGUAGAUAUUGGGAAGAACACCGGUGGCGAAGGCGGCUAUCUGGCCCGUAAUUGACGCUGAGGCGCGAAAGCGUGGGGAGCAAACAGG